GCCCAGAAAAUUGAGUUAACGUAAAAUAAGCAUGGCUUGGAUGGUGUGAAGUGUGGGAAUGAGAAGGUUUCGGAAUCAAGGAACUGUUGUGUAUGAUUGUCUUUUUUAUAAAUAUCAGUCAUUUGAGAUAUCCUUGGUUUGUUGUAACAAGUUUGAUUUUUGUCUGUUUUUUCUUUUCUUUUUUUAUUUUUUGUAGAGAGAGAGAGAGAGAGAGAGGUGGUCGAAAAUUAUGGAAGUAGUGGAAACAAGUGGUACAAAGUCUCUAGCUAGGCGAACAUGAGAUGGAAGAGGAAAGCCUAACUAUCUAGGCUAGUAACCAUGACAAAUUGGAGUGGAAUUGGACAAUUUACAUCUUCUUUUCCCGCUGAAUAUGUUGGUUGACGAAGGGAAGAAGACCAUGUUUUUGGCAGCAGAAGUGACUCGGAAUAGACCUUCGAAGGUGCAGCUCCCUGGGGUAUUCUCAAAAGUUUCUACUCCAGAGGUCAAGUUUCCGAAGAACUGAUGAAGUGGUUGCGAAGUUGCUAAUACAGCUCAUUUAGGGUAGACGAAAUCAUCCGGGAAGUCACAGCAGAAGGCCAAUUUACUGUGUGGUCUCUGUACAAACUCUUGUAUAACAAAGGUGAGGAAUGAAAGAAAUCAAAGGAGCUUUGAGGGGAUUCCAAAAGAUUGGGUAUCAUAAGAUCCAAGAUCAUUGCAUCAGCUGCAGAAUGGGUAUCAUCUAGGAUGGAGUUGCGGCAACCGGCAAAGACAUGAUCGAAUGUAUUUCAGAGGGGUGGCUACGAUGAAAGAAACAAGAAUGCAGAGAGUAGGUAAAUAGAAACCACCACCUUAAGAGAGCAUAGGUGAAUAGAAACCACCUCCUAAAAAGACCAUGAAACUGAAUUUUGAUGGGAGUGAACCGGGAAUCCUGGAAGAGCUAGAAUAGGGGCGUUAGUGAGAGAUCAUAGAGGGAAUAUACUGCUCUCUUGAUGCAGACCGGCUUUGUGUUGCGCAACAAAUUCUAGGUCUGACGUUCUGGGGACCUUUACACCUAAUGGAGCUGAGAUGCAGGCACUACUUCAGGGACUGAAAUUAAUCUCAGAAGAUCAAGUGAACAUGAUUGUAGAAGGGAUUCAGUUAAUACCAUGGUGUCCUGGAUACACGACAGUGCCUCAGAAUUUGGUGAACUAGUGAGAUAAAAGAACUUCGCGAAAGUGAAGAUGCCAGUUUUAUACAUAUCUAUAGAUAAUCUAAUGAGGAGGCUGAAUGCUCUGGCAAAUAAUGGUAUAAAUUGGCAGGUAUAGUGGUAAAUAAAUAUUGGUUAUUUGCAUCGGUUGGUUGUGGCUAUGCAGCACUGUUUGCACCCCAAAUAGACUUGGUACAGCCGCACCUCAAAACGCUGCCACAAAAAUCAUAUUAGUGCCGGAAAAAUUUGUGAUGGCCAACUAGUCCAUUUAUGGAACUUGCUACAGACGUUGAAGCUAUAAAAUCUGGUAUAGAUUUGGCAAACCGCCUAAAAUAGACAACCCAAAAAAGUUGUUGCAUGAUCAGCCAGGACAUAAGUAGGGCCUUGAGAUAUUGUUCUUGUUUUUGGAUCCACGAUUGUCGUGGUGAAGAUGACCAUUUUGUAGUUUUCCGGCAUCAUAAUCGUUUUCCAAAAAUUGUUUCAUGCAUGUUGGACUGCAGUGCAAAAAGUGUAAAGUAUCAACCUUAAUGAUGGAUGUAAGUAGGUGUUUCAUCUAAAAACAAUGGAAACUAACAAUUCAAAUGUUUUCUUACAAGAAUUAUUAUUUUUAGUUUUUAAAAUUUAUUUAUUUUUUUAUAUUCAUGAUAUGCAUGUUAAUGUUAGAGACUCCAUGUCCUUAAAAAUUAAGUAAAAAAAUCCAUCUCAAAAAUAUAUUUAUUAAUAGACCUGCAUUUCUACAUAUGUGGGCUCGGCCAAAGAGACUGGGUCCUUGUUUUUCUUAUACUCUCAAGUGCAGUUAUAUAAAUCUGCAGCUUUACAAAAUACUUUUCUUUUCUUAAACAAAGAAAUUUUUUUUUAUUUCUUCUUUUUUUCACUAGUAUUAAAAAACAAUUAUCGUUUUUCUUGAUCUUAUUUUUGGAAAAGUGGUUUAUGCAUGGGCACACAACUAUAUUUGCAUCCCCCGAGGCAUCACACAUCCAUCUUUCAAGAUGGAUGUGAAGUGGUAUCCAAAAAAGGACAAACUUAAACGUUCUAAAAAAGCAAAACAUUUCCUUUAAAAAUCAUCUUUUUUAGUUCUUAUUUUUACCUUUAUUUUUUUUAACAGAUUCAUGAUCUUGAUUCUUGAGAUUAGUCCAAAUUCCAUCUAAAAAAUGGAUCAUGAAGAGGGGACACAUAUCUACAUAUGAAUCCUAGGACUCAUAAAAACCAUGUCUUCUAUUUUUUGUUUGAUUUUUAUCAUUAUAUUUAUUUACCAUUUUAAAGGCACGCGGUAAUGUUCUUGGCCUCCCGACCACUCUAUUCCUGCAAGCAAGGCUUUGUGCCCCCUUUUCUCUUUGAUUAAGCAUAUUUACUAAAAUGCCCCUAGCCUGUAUCUAAAUUGGUUGAAUUACCAAAAUAAAACCUUUAUUACUGAAAGGAUGUGUUUUUUAUAAGGUUGCAACCUUAAACAAUUCA
Non-coding RNA from Amborella trichopoda, 2620 nucleotides. NCBI's taxonomy places the organism in Eukaryota, Viridiplantae, Streptophyta, Magnoliopsida, Amborellales, Amborellaceae. The record is from RefSeq and is a predicted model, not a curated record.